UGGGGAAUAUUGCACAAUGGGCGCAAGCCUGAUGCAGCCAUGCCGCGUGUAUGAAGAAGGCCUUCGGGUUGUAAAGUACUUUCAGCGGGGAGGAAGGUGUUGUGGUUAAUAACCACAGCAAUUGACGUUACCCGCAGAAGAAGCACCGGCUAACUCCGUGCCAGCAGCCGCGGUAAUACGGAGGGUGCAAGCGUUAAUCGGAAUUACUGGGCGUAAAGCGCACGCAGGAGGUCUGUCAAGUCGGAUGUGAAAUCCCCGGGCUCAACCUGGGAACUGCAUCCGAAACUGGCAGGCUUGAGUCUUGUAGAGGGGGGUAGAAUUCCAGGUGUAGCGGUGAAAUGCGUAGAGAUCUGGAGGAAUACCGGUGGCGAAGGCGGCCCCCUGGACAAAGACUGACGCUCAGGUGCGAAAGCGUGGGGAGCAAACA
RNAcentral lists this ribosomal RNA (427 nucleotides) under uncultured bacterium. RNAcentral describes it as "partial 16S ribosomal RNA". It matches the Rfam family "Bacterial small subunit ribosomal RNA", at positions 355 to 774 of the family's 1533-position model. The record is from RNAcentral.